GUCCCGGUAGUAUAACUAUUACCCUGGUCUUGUAAACCAUAAAUGAGGCAAACGCGCCUCCCAGGACA
RNAcentral lists this transfer RNA (68 nucleotides) under Calyptophractus retusus (Greater fairy armadillo). RNAcentral's name for it is "tRNA-Thr". Lineage: Eukaryota; Metazoa; Chordata; Mammalia; Cingulata; Chlamyphoridae. The record is from RNAcentral.